This 7907-nucleotide long non-coding RNA is filed under the name Coffea arabica (coffee). Its description in RNAcentral is "long non-coding RNA (CARA_LNC002503)". The record is from RNAcentral. Lineage: Eukaryota; Viridiplantae; Streptophyta; Magnoliopsida; Gentianales; Rubiaceae.
CAAAGAAGGGUUGUACCCCAUCACAGCUAGCAUUGGCCUGGGUGCAUCAUCAGGGAAACGAUGUUUGUCCCAUUCCUGGCACCACCAAGAUUGAAAACCUCAAUCAGAAUAUAGGAGCUUUGUCUGUAAAACUGUCUGCGGAAGAUAUGGAUGAACUGGAAUCCAUUGCUUCAGCUGGAAUAAAGGGUGAUAGACUUCCCCCUGGCUUUGAUAGUUGGAAAACCUCUGAUACUCCACCUCUGUCAACGUGGAAGGCCACAUGAAUACUGCCUUUGUUAUGCUAACAAUUCAUGUAGCUAUCUAUCUGAAUAAUGCAUUUUCACUGUUGUUGAGGGCUGAGUGAAUUGUAACUGUUCCAAUAAACUGCAACCUAAUUCAUAGUAUUGUGUUGAGGGUUGAUUCAUUUUACAGCUAUCUUAUACGAAGUUAAAAACUUGAGGUUGUAAUGGAUAAAAAUCUGGUCAAGCAAACAAAUUGCUUGCUGGUCUUGUUGCAGGACAAGCCAACAGUACCCUUGCUGCUGUUUGAAUAAGAUGUUUAUCUGGUGUAUUUCUGAACAUCUAAAGGGUCCUGUUAUUUAGAUUAUAUAACGGCAGAAAUGAUGCCUCAUACCUCUUUGAAACCUAUAAAUUGCUGAAAGGGAUUCAGUUUGUUAAGUAGUGAAGAGAUGCUGUAUUUUUAAAUGUUGUCUGUUGUCUUCCCUUUAGAAUUUUAAAAGACAAAAAGUGUCACCAAUAAAAAUACAUACUUGAGCUGUAAAUACUAUAGGUUGCUUCUUUAGAAUUUUUUUUUUUAAAAAAAAUCAUGUUCAUAUAUUUUUUUUAAAUUGCCUUCCAGAUUGGAGAAAGUUUUUAAUUAAUGGCCAAAUAAUUAAAUCCAUAAAGCACGUUAGAAAAAAGGUACAUGAAGCUAUAAAGCAUUAAUAUACAUUUGUCAAAACUCAUUUAAUAAUUUAACCUGCAGUAUCUCGAGAAGAGAAGCACACCUCGUCAAGUAAUUGUCAUUUUAAUGCAUCAAAAUUAAGUUCUUUAGGUGAAUAAUCAGAAAAACCCAUGCAGAAAAAUGCUCUAAAUUACUUUUAUUACCAUUAAGCCAGUAUCCAAAUGGUUGGACGCGUCUCAUUCGGAUUGCGUCUCAUUUGGACGCGCCUCAUUUGGUCAGAAUGUUCCUCAACAUCAAUCCAAGUGUUCAGACAGUUUUUGAAUUUUUAAACACCAUUUAGAUGGCAAUUAAUUGUCAAAAACAUGUAAAGGUGCCAAAUAAAUUUGAACAAUUUCUGAACAGUGCAAGACAAUGAUAAGUCUUAUGGUGGAUCCUAAGACGGGCUCCCGUCUUGCAAUUGAUCAAAUUUUGAAAAUAUUUAACGUUGUAUUUGCUAAUAAAUAGUUAUAAACAAACAUGUCUAGAAGCAGAUUUGCAGAAAAUAAGAUCAACUGCCAAAUUUAUUACUCUCUUUCGUUUUCCAUUAUCACUUUUCUCAUUUGGCCACUUUUUUCCAAUGUUAUAUUAUUAGUUAAAUUUUAAGCGAAAAGUUCUUUACGGAAUUUUUUUCAUUUUAUUUUUUUCCUCCUUUUCUUUAUCAUAUUUAGACUUCUUUUUCCUCCCCCUCUAUUCGUAUUAUGACAUACAAAUUUUUAUAAUAAUGUGCUAAAAAAUUUUCUAUUAUAGUUCAAUACAAAUUGUUAGUUUUUAACUAAAAGAAUUUAAUCAUAAUCAUUAUUAUAAGAAAUUAAAAAGCAUGAGAAAAAAGAAAUUAAAAAACAUAUAUUUUUAUAUAAGAAACUUAAGUAUUUCACAUUUGUAUUAACAAUUUCUUAGUAUGUAUUAAUUGUUAGCUAAAUAUCAUGAUGCAUUAUCUUUUAAAAUAUAGAAGUUACACAACAGACUUUUACAAAAUAUAUACUUUAUAAUUUAAAAUAACUUAUGAUACUUAAAUAUUUGACAUAACAAAAAUACUUACUUAAGCCUUAAAUGAAAUUGCAAUUACCCCUUAUUGGCAGUUUCUUUUAAGGCUUAAAUAUGUAUUUUCAUUAUGUAAAAUAUUAUAUCGUCAUAAACUAUUGCAAAAAUUAAAAUGUAGAUAUUUUGCAAAAUUAUGUUUCAUAAUUCUAUAUAUUACUCAUUAAUAACUAAUGCAUCAUGACAUUUAGCUAAAAACUAAUACAUAAUAGAAACUGCAAGUAUAUGCAAAAUACUUAAAUUUUUUUAUAUAAAGCAUAUGCUUUUUAAUUUCUUAUAUAAUGAUUAAAUACUUUUAGUAUAUGUAUUUAACCAUAAAAGAAAAUUCUUUAGCACAAUAUUGUUAAAGUUUAUAUGCAGUAGUAGGAGUAGAGGAAGAAGAAAAAGAAAUCUAAACGUAAUAAAGAAAAGGAAGAAAAGAAGAAAGAGAAAAUUAAAAAAUAUAUAUAAUGAAAUACAAUAAGGGAUUGUCUUUAUUUGCCCCAUAAAUUUGACCUUUAAUCAUCAGGGGUAUUGUGUAUGUUUCAUGAUUACACAGAUAAUUUGCUACUAAAUUAUAAUUACAGAGGAACAACUUGUACUUAAGCCAAAAAGGGAAAAAAAAAAGGCACGAUAAGUAGUCACUUGGAGGCCUCCCUGGGUUCGAAUCCUCAACUUUAGUUACGUUGAAGAUUAUGUGGCAGGACUCCAAAUUCACUGAAAUGUUCACCACAAUACUUUGCGAUGCAGAAAACGAAAGCAAAAAAGACAAAAUCGAAAAAAAAAGAGGAAAUGUAGGAAGUUAAAUCAAGCCAUUAUGUUUUAGUAUUAAUAAUUAAGUGGUGGUCUACAUACCACAUUGUCAUUGGUUAUUCGAUACAAGUGUUAUUAUGUCUGUUGAUUGCAUGGAAAAGGUAAUUAGAGCCAUGAUUGAGUUUAAGUUCGAGUGCUGUGUAUGUGAGAAGAAAAUUUUCCUUUGCCUCUUUAAUCGAUUUGUUGAGAAUUUUUCUGUAGAUUUAUGCCAUGAUUGUUUAUCGAUUUCAGUUCAUCAGAAAUUGCUUACCUUUGCACUCACAUCAUCCAAGUCCCAAUCAAAUGUUCCAAAGGAGACAGAUGCCAGCUACUAUUCCACUUUGUAUUAUUUCUUUGUCUCGAUACUAAAUUAUCCUACGGGACUUUAUCUUGUCCUAGUUAUUGUUUGAGAGAAUAAAAUUUAUACACAAUAUCUUCACUUUCUAUUUCCUAUGACAAUUAAAACGUAGAAUUUUUCAACCUUCACAUUUGAGAAUGAAGGUUGGGUUAAUAAAUAGCAGAGCUUAGGAUCUGAAAUAUUUCUUAUUUAGUGUGUUGUGGACACUCUUCUUCUGCUCCUCAAGUACUGUUUCCUCUGUGUCUGGUUUUUGUCUGAAAAUGGCAUCGUCAGUAGUAGAAGAAGUGAAAGUGCCAAGAAUCAAGCUGGGCUCGCACGGUUUUGAAGUUUCAGCUCAGGGAUUGGGUUGCCUGGGGAUGUCAGCCUUCUACGGGCCGCCAAAGCCCGAGCCCGACAUGAUCAAAGUUAUUCACUAUGCUAUCAGCAGAGGCAUCACUCAUCUUGACACCUCCGAUUUUUAUGGACCCCAUACCAAUGAAUUACUUCUCGGGAAGGUACUAAUCCCACCAUCUUUUGUUGGUUGUACAUUAUGGUUUUCAGCUUGUACCUUGAUCAUCAUUCUCUCUUCAAUGAUUUGAACUUUAAAAUGAUGGCAAUAGAUUAUACAGUGGUAAAACAGGAAACGGUGCUCCCCAGUUGAAUUCUAGUUGUUGUGGUUUUUAUUACAUUUGGUACAAACUUGCAGUGAAUUUUACUCCUACUUAGUUGUACAAGUUAACAAAUUUCAUGAUUACAUCAAAAUUCUACGAAAUGUUAUAAGAAUUACAUAAAUUGGAUAGAUGUGAAUAAAAUUCAAUCGGAGAGGCUCUAAAUCCAAUAGAAUAAUUCCUGUCGAUCUUCAGUUAAUUUAUAAAGGAAUUGACAUUAGGCACUCUAUUAUAUAAUUACAUCUUCCUUGACAUUUAUUAGCAUUCUAUAUUUUUCAAUGGCACCACUUGACUUUUAGGGUUUGUGGAAAGACAACAAUAUGCCUACAUGUUAUGUAUCCUCUAAAGAGUUCGAGAGAAGAAUUUUUGGAUGUAAUUACUAUGGAGCUUAAAAUGCUAAGAGUAGAAAAAAUUCAAGAGAAAAAUAGUAUCCUAAGGUAAGAUUAGGAGAGGUUAUGAUUCCGUAAACCGGCUAUACAUUCAGUCCGGUUCAAUAGUUAACUCAAAAAUUGAAUUGACCUGUUAUAUCUGGUCAAGAACCAGUUGGAUUAGUAAAAAUUGGGAGGUUCAAUUGGAUUUCACUGAUUUUUUUUAUUUAUUUAAAACCAAUAUUUUAGUUUUAUUCAGAUUUUUAAUAUUAAAAUAAAUAAAUAAUGAUUGAACCUUUAAACUAAGGUUGAACCGGUCGGAUUAAUUGAAACGCAAACUGAAAGCUCUUUCGACUCGCUCUCCAAUACAGAUUUAAAAGCAUUGUAAAUAGGUUGAUAAGUAUAUGAUUGUUUUGUGUUCAGAAACCCAGAAUAAAAAAAAUUUCCAAUUUUCCUGAGUCUCAUAGAAUAUAGUAUUGAUUACAUUUUUGUACCCAGAAAGAGUAGGAAAAUUUUGCUAAAGUGGUUAAAGUUCGCUGCUAGUAAUAAUAUAGUCAAAGUUGACAUUUUUAAGAGAGCAUAUAUUUCUGCUGUUUCAUAAUGGAGGAGGGUGAUACGAAAAUUAAUCCCAACAGUUUCUGUUAAGGAGUUAUUACAAGAUUAACAUGUUUUAAUUUGUGUCCCGGAUGAUUAAUGUUGUGAAAGAAUGAGUAUAGGCUUUGAAGGAAGGAAUACGACAGAAAGUGGAGCUAGCAACAAAGUUUGGAAUUAGACCUGUGGAUGGAAAGCUGGAGAUUUGUGGUGAUCCAGCAUAUGUAAGGGCUGCUUGUGAGGGUAGCUUGAAAAGACUUGGAGUUGACAGCAUUGAUCUCUACUAUCAGCAUCGCAUCGAUACAAGUCUGCCCAUCGAAGUCACGGUUCGCUCUGCUAUCCUUCUGUGUUUUUAUCUUUCUUUUAUGCUUGAUGAAGUGUAACUAGUUCAUCAAUGUUAUGAAUGAGUUAAGCAGCACAAAGUUGUGGAAUAAGGAGUUUUUUACAUCUUUGGAUGUGUUGCACUAAAUACGGUAAAAAUUUGAUAGAACAUUGUUGCCUAAUGAUGCAUGGCAACAGAUUAAAAUGCAAAUAUCUACUUGUUGAAUUGGUUUACACAAAUCACUCUGUCUUUUCUCUAGGAACAUGCUUUGAUAUAUGAGUGAAGCCAAUUCAAAUAUGACAAAAUGCUUGUUCUAAUAUGUUCUGCAGUGCUACGGCAAGCCAGAAGACACCAAUUACUUCACAAUCCUAUUUGAACUCAGGCUCAUUCAUUUGAGAUCCCUAAAAUUUGUCCAUUUACCAUGAAUUGAAGCUUUGGGCUUUUAAAUCUCCUUUCUGAUUCCAAUAGAAUCUUGCAUGCUUGUGAACUGUGGUGUCGCUUUAAUUACAAAUACAUAUGCAGAGCAACUAUCUUAAACUCACUGCAGAUGGGACUACUGUCAAAUAGCACCAAGUGCGAUCAUUCUAGUUCUGUGCAACAUAUGUUGCAAGUGGCUUAAAUCAAUACAAAGGCAAUUUUUAUAGCAUCGACUAGUCAUUCUUUAUCCACUAAAAGAUGUGACAUGAUAUAUAGGAGGAAUGGAACAGAAGAAAUUUAACCAAUCGAUUGAAUACCAUUGUAUAUGUAAUGUUUUCAACUUCAUGUAUAGUUAGUAAAAGUUGUGCCAAUACAAUGGACUACUAAUACUUUCACUCAUACACUACAAAAUUCCAAUUAUCUGCCUUGGGAUGAUUAAUACUAAAUGAGCUUCAUAUGAUAGUAUUUGCUCCUUCAAAUUCUUUUUUUUUUUUUUUCUAGAUAGGAGAACUUAAAAAACUGGUUGAAGAGGGUAAAAUCAAGUAUAUAGGUCUAUCUGAGGCCUCAGCUUCAACAAUCAAAAGAGCACAUGCUGUUCAUCCAAUAACGGCUGUACAGUUGGAGUGGUCAUUGUGGACAAGAGAUGUAGAGGAAGAGAUUAUUCCUACUUGCAGGUAGUUACAUAUUGUUCUGCUUCACUUUCAAUAUACAAUAGUAUGCAUUUGUAACUUCAUCUUCUGUUUUUUCAGAGAACUUGGCAUAGGAAUUGUAGCAUACAGUCCACUUGCACGAGGAUUCUUCUCAUCAGGUCCAACGCUGAUUGAGAAUUUUUCUGAAGGUGAUUUCCGUAAGGUUUGUCCAUGACCAUAAAGAUUAUGAGUAUCUUAGCUCCAAACACUAAUAUAAAGUUUGUCAUUAGAGAUUAUGAGCUAAAAUCCUUACGUUCAAAUCUCAUCAUUUAGAGUCUGUAUAUGCAGAAUUUGCCGAGGUUUCAAUCAGAGAAUAUGGAGCAUAACAAGAACAUGUACGAGCGUGUCAAUGUCAUUGCUUCAAAGAAGGGUUGUACCCCAUCACAGCUAGCAUUGGCCUGGGUGCAUCAUCAGGGAAACGAUGUUUGUCCCAUUCCUGGCACUACCAAGAUUGAAAACCUCAAUCAGAAUAUAGGAGCUUUGUCUUUAAAACUGUCUGCAGAUGAUAUGGCUGAACUGGAAAGCAUUGCUUCAGCUGGAAUCAAGGGUGACAGACUUCCCCCUGGCUUUGAUAGUUGGAAAACCUCCGAUACUCCACCUCUGUCAACGUGGAAGGCCACAUGAAUACUGCCUUUGUUAUGCUAAUAAUUCAUGUAGCUAUCUAUCUGAAUAAUGCAUUUUCACUGUUGUUGAGGGCUGAGCGAAUUGUAACUGUUCCAAUAAACUGCAACCUAAGUGACAGUGUUCUGUUGAGGGUUGAUUCAUUUUAGAGUUAUCUUAUACAAGGUAAAGAACUUAAUAUAGAGGUUGUAAUGGAUAGAAAUCUGGUAAUGUAAAAAAAUUGCUGGCUGGUCUUUUCGCAGGACAAGCCAACAGUAGUACUUCUGCAUCUGUUUGAAUAAGAUGUUUAUCUGGUGUAUUUCUGAAUAUCUAAAGGGUCCUGCUAUUUAGACCGUAUAACGGCAGAAAUGAUGCCUCAUACCUGCAACUUAAACCAAUAAACGGAACCUACGCUAUAGAUGGCUUCUUUAGAAGUUCAAAAGAACAAAAAAAGGUUCAUAAUUCUCAUUUUCUAUGCAUGUGUUCUUUUCAAAAAGAAAAAGUAACUGAAUUAUUAAAAAAAAAAAAAAGGACAACAAUGUAUUGACUGCAAUGAGCAGAAAUCAAUAGCUUUUUCUUCAACUGUAGUUGCAUGUUAAUUGGAUCUACAACAAAGCUGGUAAGCUAUUUAGUUUAGCUGCUAUAUAUAUAAAAGAAAUUAUUCAUUGUUUGUCAAACUAUUAAAAGCUCGUUUGGAUUAGUUGUUUUUGGGAGUGUUUUUGAAAAAUUUUAUUGUAGCAGAGUUUUUAGAGUAUAUUUUGGGAUAUUUUUAGAAUAUAUUUUGGGAUAUUUACAAGUAGAAGAGUUUCUAGAAUAUAUUUUGAAAUAUUUUUUAAAAUUUUAAAAAAAUUAAAACUAAGUUUUAAAUUACUUUUUAGAGUACUUUUUAAAAAUUUUUAUUGUAUUUGAAAAACUAAUUUUUGAAAAACACUCCUUUUCUAACAUUUGAUGUUGCAGUUGUCGUCAUUAUUUCAUUUUUCACUUUGAAUUUUUAUAUUUCGCAAGUUUGUCAUAAUUUCUUUAGGAGUAAUAGAGCUUACAAAAAAUUACUUUUGGAAAAUUAAGCACCCAAUAUAAUGUUAGAAAAGAAACAGGAAUUUGCUUACCUUUGGGCCUACAUCAUCCUUAUACGUAGACAUGCCCCUGGCUGCAGGGCUAUGUCAGCCUUCUUCGGGCCACCCAAGC